Molecule: ribosomal RNA, 482 nt
Filed under: uncultured bacterium
Lineage: Bacteria
Description: partial 16S ribosomal RNA
Rfam family: Bacterial small subunit ribosomal RNA
Source: RNAcentral
AUUGAACGCUGGCGGCAUGCCUUACACAUGCAAGUCGAACGGUAACGGGCCUUCGGGUGCCGACGAGUGGCGAACGGGUGAGUAAUACAUCGGAACGUGCCCGAUCGUGGGGGAUAACGAGGCGAAAGCUUUGCUAAUACCGCAUACGAUCUACGGAUGACAGCAGGGGACCGCAAGGCCUUGCGCGGACGGAGCGGCCGAUGGCAGAUUAGGUAGUUGGUGGGAUAAAAGCUUACCAAGCCGACGAUCUGUAGCUGGUCUGAGAGGAUGAUCAGCCACACUGGGACUGAGACACGGCCCAGACUCCUACGGGAGGCAGCAGUGGGGAAUUUUGGACAAUGGGCGCAAGCCUGAUCCAGCCAUGCCGCGUGCAGGAUGAAGGCCUUCGGGUUGUAAACUGCUUUUGUACGGAACGAAAAGCCUUCUUUUAAUACGGGAGGGUCAUGACGGUACCGUAAGAAUAAGCACCGGCUAACUACGUG